This 263-nucleotide ribosomal RNA is filed under the name uncultured archaeon. Its description in RNAcentral is "partial 16S ribosomal RNA". It matches the Rfam family "Archaeal small subunit ribosomal RNA", at positions 719 to 982 of the family's 1478-position model. The record is from RNAcentral.
ACACGACUACAUUAGAUACCCGUGUAGUCCAGGGUGUAAACGCUGCGGGCUUGGUGUUGGGGGUCCUUUGAGGGCGCCCAGUGCCGGAGAGAAGUUGUUAAGCCUGCUGCUUGGGAGUACGUCCGCAAGGAUGAAACUUAAAGGAAUUGGCGGGGAGCACCGCAACGGGAGGAGCGUGCGGUUCAAUUGGAUUCAACGCCGGACAACUCACCAGGAGCGACGGUUACAUGAAGGCCAGGCUGAUGACCUUGCCUGAUUUUCCG